This 253-nucleotide ribosomal RNA is filed under the name uncultured bacterium. RNAcentral's name for it is "partial 16S ribosomal RNA". It matches the Rfam family "Bacterial small subunit ribosomal RNA", at positions 524 to 776 of the family's 1533-position model. The record is from RNAcentral.
UACGUAGGCAGCGAGCGUUAAUCGGAAUUCCUGGGCGUAAAGUGUGCGCAGGUGGCUUCGCAAGUCGAGUGUGAAAUCCCCGGGCUUAACCUGGGAAUUGCGCUCGAAACUACGGAGCUGGAGUAUGGCAGAGGGAGGUGGAAUUCCACGUGUAGCGGUGAAAUGCGUAGAGAUGUGGAGGAACACCAAUGGCGAAGGCAGCCUCCUGGGCCAAUACUGACACUCAUGCACGAAAGCGUGGGGAGCAAACAGG